GGAUGCUGAGGAAUCCAACCACAGGACGAAACGGCCGUCCAGUGC
RNAcentral lists this non-coding RNA (45 nucleotides) under Schistosoma margrebowiei. The record is from RNAcentral. Lineage: Eukaryota; Metazoa; Platyhelminthes; Trematoda; Strigeidida; Schistosomatidae.